Molecule: ribosomal RNA, 483 nt
Filed under: uncultured bacterium
Lineage: Bacteria
Description: partial 16S ribosomal RNA
Rfam family: Bacterial small subunit ribosomal RNA
Source: RNAcentral
AUUGAACGCUGGCGGCAGGCCUAACACAUGCAAGUCGAGCGGAUGAAGGGAGCUUGCUCCUGGAUUCAGCGGCGGACGGGUGAGUAAUGCCUAGGAAUCUGCCUGGUAGUGGGGGAUAACGUCCGGAAACGGGCGCUAAUACCGCAUACGUCCUGAGGGAGAAAGUGGGGAUCUUCGGACCUCACGCUAUCAGAUGAGCCUAGGUCGGAUUAGCUAGUUGGUGGGGUAAAGGCCUACCAAGGCGACGAUCCGUAACUGGUCUGAGAGGAUGAUCAGUCACACUGGAACUGAGACACGGUCCAGACUCCUACGGGAGGCAGCAGUGGGGAAUAUUGGACAAUGGGCGAAGGCCUGAUCCAGCCAUGCCGCGUGUGUGAAGAAGGUCUUCGGAUUGUAAAGCACUUUAAGUUGGGAGGAAGGGCAGUAAGUUAAUACCUUGCUGUUUUGACGUUACCAACAGAAUAAGCACCGGCUAACUUCGUG